Molecule: long non-coding RNA, 507 nt
Organism: Canis lupus familiaris (dog)
Lineage: Eukaryota; Metazoa; Chordata; Mammalia; Carnivora; Canidae
Exons: 3
Source: RefSeq, a predicted model, not a curated record
CCUCGACCCAUGAACCACUCUGCAAAGCCACGGGGUAAACUUUGUCCUCUAGAAGGCCUAUGUCUCUGGAGCUCAGGGGCAAUCCACCAAGGUUCCAGAACCUCCCCAACCCACAGACAUGUUGAGCUUCUACUCUGUGCCAGACAUGCCCUAGCCUUGGAGAUGUAAGAAUAAAUCGCUGACUGCUGGGACAUCAAGCAGUGAUCAGUCCCACGCAUGUCUGGGGCAGACUCACCUGUGACUCAGUUUCCCGAUGGAACCAGUGAGCAGUCCCCCGGAGAGUACUGCACUCUGAGUCGGCAUCUUGGCCCAGGACUCAAGAAGAAAGGCAGACGCGAGGUGUCGAGGCGUCGUUCGGUGCCUCAGCUUGUCCCUACCCCCUCCGUCGCCCCAGUCGGGGUCCCCAGGGGAGGGGGGCGGCUGAGCCUGAGAACUGCUAAUGAAGCCGCAGCCAAUUAACGCCCGGGCCGGGCUUGGGGGCGGAUAAAAUUAGCCGCGGCGGCGGCA